CAAAUAAUGUGCCUUUUGGGUCAUCCAAAUGUUACCUCUUUGAAGCAUUGUUUCUUUUCCACAACUGGGAAAGAUGAGCUCUAUUUUACUCUGGUGCUUGAGUUUGUCCCUGAAACUGUUCACCGUGUCAUCAGACACUACAACAAGAAUUCCAUUGAUAUAUGUCGGAUAAGCUUUCUGGAAGAAUAUCGAACUAUUAAAGCUUGUGAAAAGAUUUGCGACAUUACUCACUCUUAUCUUGGUCCUAAUGAUUAACAGGGAAGAUGGAGAACUUGAAUUGAAACUGAAGUGAUAAGUAAAGUGACAUUUUCUGCUCUUUAGGACCUUUUAAACAGCAGCAUCAAGCGAGUUUCACGCUUCUCCAAGACCUUUAGUUAUGAAGGAAAUCAAGAAGAUAAGCUAAUAGUCGGUAAUCUGGAUCUUCAAGUCAUUGGACGCAAGCUUGAGUUAAUGGUGUCCUUGGCAGACUUUGAAGAUUCUAAAUUGCCAUGGCACGAGCACGAUAUUGAAGAUUCUAGAACUUGUUCGUCAAACUGAGAAAUUCUUCAGUAAGCUCAUCAAGAAAGAGAUUACACUUCAAAGACCCAAAUCAUCAUCUAAUUUUAAUCAAGUUGAAGAUUCUGGAACGAGUUAUUCAGCCGGAUAAGCUUUUUGGAAGAUUAUCGAACUAUUGAAGCUUGUGAAAAGCUUUGCGACAUUACUCACUCUUAUCUUGGUCCUAAUGAUUAAGGGAAGAUGGAGAACUUGAAUUGAAACUGAAGUGACAAGUAAAGUGACAUUUUCCGCUCUUUAGGACCUUUUAAACAGCAGCAUCAAGUGAGUUUCACGCUCCUCCAAGGCCUUUAGUUUCCGGUAUCUUUCUUGUUUAUGUUUAAUCCAUUACACAUGUUUAGUUUGGUGAAUUUGAAUUUUGGGUUUUGUUUAUUUGUGCAAUUAGAUUGAAUCGUGUUUAUGGAUGUGUAUUGUUGGAUUUCUGUUUAGAGUAGCUUAAAAAAUUGAAGUUAGUUGGGUAAUUAGAUCCAAAUAAUGUGAACUAUUUCGAAAAGCAGAAAUUAUUCAUCUCCCAUAUUUUCAAUUGCUAUUU
Long non-coding RNA from Chenopodium quinoa (quinoa), 1084 nucleotides. RefSeq lists it as uncharacterized. The record is from RefSeq and is a predicted model, not a curated record. The transcript is spliced from 7 exons. NCBI's taxonomy places the organism in Eukaryota, Viridiplantae, Streptophyta, Magnoliopsida, Caryophyllales, Amaranthaceae.